AUUGAACGCUGGCGGCAGGCCUAACACAUGCAAGUCGAGCGGAUGAAGGUAGCUUGCUCCUGGAUUCAGCGGCGGACGGGUGAGUAAUGCCUAGGAAUCUGCCUGGUAGUGGGGGAUAACGUCCGGAAACGGGCGCUAAUACCGCAUACGUCCUGAGGGAGAAAGUGGGGGAUCUUCGGACCUCACGCUAUCAGAUGAGCCUAGGUCGGAUUAGCUAGUUGGUGGGGUAAAGGCCUACCAAGGCGACGAUCCGUAACUGGUCUGAGAGGAUGAUCAGUCACACUGGAACUGAGACACGGUCCAGACUCCUACGGGAGGCAGCAGUGGGGAAUAUUGGGCAAUGGGCGAAAGCCUGAUCCAGCCAUGCCGCGUGUGUGAAGAAGGUCUUCGGAUUGUAAAGCACUUUAAGUUGGGAGGAAGGGCAGUAAGUUAAUACCUUGCUGUUUUGACGUUACCAACAGAAUAAGCACCGGCUAACUUCGUG
RNAcentral lists this ribosomal RNA (484 nucleotides) under uncultured bacterium. Its description in RNAcentral is "partial 16S ribosomal RNA". It matches the Rfam family "Bacterial small subunit ribosomal RNA", at positions 30 to 507 of the family's 1533-position model. The record is from RNAcentral.